AAAUAGAAAAUGCAUUAAGGUGCCUCUGAAAAGAGGAGAAUAGGAAAGCCGGUUCAAAUCCGGCACGGACCCACCACUGUAAGUAGUGACAAAUUCUAAAUAAACCACUGGAUGUCAAUGACAUCUGGGAAGGUUAGAAGGCGGAUGAACUACAAGUCAGGAGACCUGCCUUUAUGUUGAGAUUAGU
This 187-nucleotide non-coding RNA is filed under the name Fusibacter sp. 3D3. The record is from RNAcentral. RNAcentral also lists the same sequence under 1 other name. Lineage: Bacteria; Bacillati; Bacillota; Clostridia; Eubacteriales; Fusibacteraceae.